Long non-coding RNA from Arachis stenosperma, 997 nucleotides. RefSeq lists it as uncharacterized. The transcript has 3 exons. Lineage: Eukaryota; Viridiplantae; Streptophyta; Magnoliopsida; Fabales; Fabaceae. The record is from RefSeq and is a predicted model, not a curated record.
CGAAAAUGUUAUGCGCACACACAAAAUCAGACACCAAAUGACCAAAUGAAUUAUUAUGUAUUCCUUGCUAUUUCAGGCCCUUCUUUUUAAUUUUCCAACCAUGCCAUCUGGCCAAGCCAGUUUCCUAUUCAGAGGAAAGAAAAGGAGGAAGAUGUCACUGGCACUAUAUUUAUGGUGGAGCUUGUUAAUGCUUUUGGAGAGGUUUCCAUGUGAAUCAUGUGGAUGAAGUUGUCUGCUUUCAGGAAAUAAAAUCAUAUGGAUUAUUUGAUUCCGUAAGUGAUGAGUCUUUUUCUGUCUUUUGGUGGAUCAACUUUCUCCAUUAGUGUCACGUCAGUAGAAGGAAAGUGAGAAUUAAAUUCUAUCACUAUUAUAUUUUUAAUAUUUUAGGAUUAAACACGAUUUUAAUCUCUAAAAUAUAGGUUGAAAUUUUAUUAGUUAUCAAUUUUUUUUAACAUUUGAAUUCAUUUCUAAGAUUAAAUUUGAUUUUAAAAUCAUCAUUUUAGACAAAAAUACCUUUUUUCUCUAAUUUUUUCCUAUCAUUCCAAUUAAUCAUCUUUUCCAUUUACUACAAAUUUCCCGUCUUAAACCAUGGACGAAAAAGGGUAACAACCAUAACAGAAAAGGUGGACAAAAACGGAGCGAAUAGACGAGCAGAGAUGUGGCCGAAAAAAAAAGCAGAGAGGUGAGGACAAGCGGGCAGCAAUGAUGCGGGUGCGCAGAGACGCUAACGGCAACGACGUGGACAGGAAGAUACACUGGAGCCAACGACGUGGGCAGGCAGAUAUACGGGUGACGGUGGUCUAAAUCGUUUUCUUCUCGUCGUGUUGCCUCUAGCAGUGUUCACGGUGGUGGUCUGAAUUGUCCUCUUCUUGUUGUUAUUUGUUGCUGGUUCUUCUUCUUCAGUUAAUUAUUGUUCUUGUUAUUGCUUAUUCUUCUUCUUCAGUCUAUGAUAGUAUUUUGUUGUUCUUAUUGUUGCUAAUUCUUCUUCUUCUUCUUG